This 138-nucleotide non-coding RNA is filed under the name Bigelowiella longifila. Lineage: Eukaryota; Cercozoa; Chlorarachniophyceae. The record is from RNAcentral.
GAAAGAAGAAAAAGAAAAAGAAAAGGAAAAAAACUACGAAGUAAAGCUGGCACGAUAUGAAUCUGCCUCAGCAUGUUUCACGUCUACUACUAAGCAAGCGCGUGCUUUUUCUGUCCGCCACUUUUGCUCCUGAUUGGU